RNAcentral lists this ribosomal RNA (1061 nucleotides) under Salticus scenicus. RNAcentral describes it as "eukaryotic LSU rRNA". It matches the Rfam family "Eukaryotic large subunit ribosomal RNA", at positions 99 to 891 of the family's 3401-position model. Lineage: Eukaryota; Metazoa; Arthropoda; Arachnida; Araneae; Salticidae. The record is from RNAcentral.
AGGGAAGAGCCCAGCGCCGAAUCCCCGGCCUCCGGUCGCGGGAAAUGUGGCGUUUAGGAGUGAGCGUGCCGGGAUCGGAGGUGGCAGCAAGUCCCCCUGACCGGGGCCUGUCCAGAGCGGGUGCGAGGCCCAUAGCCGCCGCCUCCGUCUCGGAUGCGAUCUCCUGGGAGUCGGGUUGCUUGGGAGUGCAGCCCUAAUCGGGUGGUAAACUCCACCUAAGGCUAAAUACCGCCGUGAGACCGAUAGCAAACAAGUACCGUGAGGGAAAGUUGCAAAGAACUUUGAAGAGAGAGUUCAAGAGUACGUGAAACUGCUCAGAGGUAAACGGGUGGGCCCUCGAAAUCCUGUGGCGAGAGGGUUCAACUCGGCACGGUGGACGCGGCGCUGGAAGUCGAGCAGGGCUUCCCGGGACGGGUGCCGUCCAGUGCUGCGAUUCGCCGGGUCGGGCGCAUUCGUCUCUCGUCCGAAGGACGCUGCAGCCGGUUCGGAAGUGCAAGCGCGACGGCCUGAAGGUCGGGACGACGCAGGUGGCCGGCGGCUCGCCUCGUGCGGGUUGUCGGUUGUUAGCGGUCCCGUCAGUGGCUCGUCUCCGGACCGUGGUGUCGCGAGUCCCUAGCGGACUCCUCGUCUCCACCCCAGAGUCGCGGGACAGAUGGUGGCAGGGAUGUAGAGUUUGAAUUUCCCUCGCACUCCCUCGGAGUGGUGGGAGAGGCUCGGCGCCCCGUUGGUUGCCACGCGCCCGUGGGGGACCGGAGGCUGGCAGCGAGUAGGUCGGUCACCCACCCGACCCGUCUUGAAACACGGACCAAGGAGUCUAACAUGUGCGCGAGUCAAUGGGUCUUGAACAGGCCCAGGGGCGCAAUGAAAGCGAAGGACUGCCGAGCGCAGUCUGAGUGGGGAUCCUCUCCUCUCGGGGGGAGGCGCACCCGCGACCCGUCCCACCCGGCUCGCCGGAGGGGCGGAGUCUGAGCGUACACGUUGGGACCCGAAAGAUGGUGAACUAUGCCCGGACAGGACGAGGCCAGAGGAAACUCUGGUGGAGGUCCGCAGCGGUUCUGACG